This 519-nucleotide ribosomal RNA is filed under the name uncultured eukaryote. RNAcentral's name for it is "SSU rRNA". It matches the Rfam family "Eukaryotic small subunit ribosomal RNA", at positions 1161 to 1704 of the family's 1831-position model. The record is from RNAcentral.
AGGGCACCACCAGGAGUGGAGUCUGCGGCUUAAUUUGACUCAACACGGGGAAACUCACCCGGCCCGGACACCGGAAGGAUUGACAGAUUGAUAGCUCUUUCCUGAUUCGGUGGAUGGUGGUGCAUGGCCGUUCUUAGUUGGUGGAGCGAUCUGUCUGGUUAAUUCCGAUAACGAACGAGACUCUAGCCUAUUAAAUAGACGUCGGGUUCUCUGCACUCGACGGUCUUCUUAGAGGGACAAGGUGCUUUUAGCACCGCGAAACAGAGCAAUAACAGGUCUGUGAUGCCCUUAGAUGUCCGGGGCCGCACGCGCGCUACACUGAAGGAAGCAGCGUGUAACAACCUUGUUCUAACGAACUGGGUAACCCGUGGAACUUCCUUCAUGAUUGGGAUAGGGGUUUGCAAUUGUGCCCCUUGAACGAGGAAUUCCCAGUAAACACUAGUCAUCAGCUAGUGCUGAUUACGUCCCUGCCCUUUGUACACACCGCCCGUCGCUACUACCGAUUGAAUGGUUUAGUGA